Molecule: small nuclear RNA, 18 nt
Filed under: Arabidopsis thaliana (thale cress)
Lineage: Eukaryota; Viridiplantae; Streptophyta; Magnoliopsida; Brassicales; Brassicaceae
Description: snRNA_18254
Source: RNAcentral
GAGAGCUCCAAGUGGGCC